Molecule: long non-coding RNA, 1776 nt
Organism: Lycium barbarum (goji berry)
Lineage: Eukaryota; Viridiplantae; Streptophyta; Magnoliopsida; Solanales; Solanaceae
Exons: 2
Source: RefSeq, a predicted model, not a curated record
UAAGUACUCUUAGCUGUAACCUUCAUUGACAUGCAAGAAAUAAAAGAACCCCAAUUGUAAUUUCAAUUUUGUUUUCUUGCAUGUAGCAUCUCAACAAAGUAGUGUCCUACAUUUGCAAACCUCUUCGUAGGCGUUUGCAUGGGAUUUGAAAGCAUGAUUUCAUAUUUUGAUUUCAAAUUAGCGUUUUUUUUUUUAUUUUUUUUUUAUGAAAUUUGCACAAAAUUUCAACUUUAACUUCAUAUCUUGAUUUCAAAUCUCAAAUUCUCCAAAAAGUCGGAUUGGGAUUCCAAAUAGUGAUUUUAUUUUUUUUUAAAUAUAAAACUUGACCCAUAAGUUUAUAUUUUGUAAAAAAAGAUCCAUAAGUUGGUAGAUAUAUUUUUUAAAUGUAAAUCUUGACUCAAAGCAACAAUGUUAGUUCGUCUUCUCGGUCAUCAAAUCAGAAAAUGCAUGCUUGAAGUGAAGAGAUUGUUCGUACUUUGUGAGAGGAUUAUAUCAAAGAGUUGUUACACUACAACUCAUGUUUAAUUUUCCUUUUUGUUGAACUAAAGUUAGAUCAAUAAAACAACAACAACAACAAUAUACCCAUUGUAAUCCCACAAGUGGGUCUGGGGAGGAUAGACUGUACGCAGACCUUAACCCUACCUUGGGAGGUAGGAAGACUGUUUCCGAAAAACCUUCGGCUCAAGAGAAAGCAUGACAAGAAAAGGUUAGACAAGGAUUGAAGAAAGUAGAGAAGCCAUCACAAAAUAGCUAAGAAGAAAAGUAACAGUCAAUGCAGCAAACUAAUACGAUAAUCGAAGUACAAGAGAUAACAGAUAGUAACCUGAAAUGGAAUUAAGGACAAUAAACUACAAAGGUAAUUAGAACAGUUCGAUCAAUAGAUGUUGUAUUUUUUAGGAAGGCCUUCUGGUAGUGUGUUAACUUAAUUUGUUAUGAAAUAUAGUUUGCUCAUCUGGUAAGAUUGUAUAAAAAUUUGAGAAGUUUUGACUGUAGGGUUUUCAUAAUGAGAAAUUUACUUGUCAUAGCUACCUCUAAGACUUAUUUAUGAAUAAUAAUUACCUUAUUUUUUAUUUAAUUUUUGUAGCUUUAUUUUUCCAAAAUUACAUUUUAUAACUAGUUCAGUAACUUUCAAAAUACAUAUAACUCUCUCUAUUCUCCCUCACUACACAUUUAAGCUACUCCAAAUCCUAAAAAAAAUUCUCUCUCCUCUCCUCUCCUCUCCUUCCCCUCACUACCGCCUCUCUCUCUCCUUUUCUCUAUCUCCGGCCUCUCCUCUCUUUCAUCUCACUUAGCCCUCCCUCCCUCCUCCAUCUCCACCCACAACGCCGCCGUCAGCACCACCACCGUAUCUGUAUAACUACUCCAAAAGUUUUGACUUUAGACAAUUAAUGUGUUUGAGCCGUUGCGUGAAUAGGAGACUCAAAAUGUCAGAAGGAAAUCAAGAACGGGCUGAUGCAAUAGCAGAAACUUUUGGUGGAAAAAUGAAUAAACCUAAAGAAAAGUAGGGUGUUAAUUUUUUGUUAAAUACUCAUCACAUACAUAUUUGUAUUGGCUCUAGUCAAAAGGUAUCGGCUUUUCAUUGGCACCCAAAAGCUAUGGUGGCGGCUGAAACCAGAGAGAGAAUCCAUUUGAGUUCACCAUUUUCAGAUUUGAAACGGUGGCGGCUGCGGGGGUCCGAUUGUUGUGAUGGUUGUUUUUUUUUAUGUAUAUAGUGUAUUUUUUUUGUAUUCGCUUGUAUUUCGAAGGAGAAAAUGUGUAUUCGUCAUUUUUAGAGUA